This 629-nucleotide ribosomal RNA is filed under the name uncultured bacterium. Its description in RNAcentral is "bacterial SSU rRNA". The stretch from base 1 to 542 matches the Rfam family "Bacterial small subunit ribosomal RNA", at positions 338 to 873 of the family's 1533-position model. The record is from RNAcentral.
CCUACGGGAGGCAGCAGUGGGGAAUUUUGGACAAUGGGCGCAAGCCUGAUCCAGCCAUGCCGCGUGAGUGAAGAAGGCCUUCGGGUUGUAAAGCUCUUUCGGCAGGAACGAAAUGGUUCGUGCUAAUACCACGGACUGAUGACGGUACCUGAAGAAGAAGCACCGGCUAACUACGUGCCAGCAGCCGCGGUAAUACGUAGGGUGCAGGCGUUAAUCGGAAUUACUGGGCGUAAAGCGUGCGCAGGCGGUUUCUUAAGUCAGAUGUGAAAGCCCCGGGCUUAACCUGGGAACUGCGUUUGAAACUGGGAGACUUGAGUGUGGCAGAGGGGGGUGGAAUUCCACGUGUAGCAGUGAAAUGCGUAGAUAUGUGGAGGAACACCGAUGGCGAAGGCAGCCCCCUGGGCUAACACUGACGCUCAUGCACGAAAGCGUGGGGAGCAAACAGGAUUAGAUACCCUGGUAGUCCACGCCCUAAACUAUGUCAACUGGUUGUCGGGAGAUUAACUCUCUUAGGUAACGAGCUAACGCGUGAGUUGACCGCGUGGGGAGGACGGCCGCGUAAGUUAAACGUUAAAGGUUAAAGUUAGUUACGGCGUGAGAGNGCCGACGGACGACGACGAGGGAGGAGG